Molecule: ribosomal RNA, 125 nt
Filed under: Orbiliaceae sp.
Lineage: Eukaryota; Fungi; Ascomycota; Orbiliomycetes; Orbiliales; Orbiliaceae
Description: partial small subunit ribosomal RNA
Rfam family: Eukaryotic small subunit ribosomal RNA
Source: RNAcentral
CCUUUGUACACACCGCCCGUCGCUACUACCGAUUGAAUGGCUCAGUGAGGCCUUCGGACUGGCUCCAGGAGGUCGGCAACGACCACCCAGAGCCGGAAAGUUGGUCAAACUUGGUCAUUUAGAGG